Molecule: unclassified non-coding RNA, 465 nt
Filed under: Hevea brasiliensis (rubber tree)
Lineage: Eukaryota; Viridiplantae; Streptophyta; Magnoliopsida; Malpighiales; Euphorbiaceae
Source: RNAcentral
CAAAAAAAAAAAAAAAAACAAAACUUAAGUGAAGUUUAUCUUGUGAUUUUUUAUUUAAUAACAUGAAAUCCCCAAGUUUGAGCAGAGAAAAGGUAUUAAAUUUGCAACUGAAGAAGGAGAACUGCAGUCCUUAAUAUCCAGAAUGACAACCAUCAAUCACCAACUAAGACUGACAAGUUACAUGCCAAUGUUCCUAAUGCAAUAAGCCAAUAACAUACCAUGUAAAAAUGAUUUUAAGAAGAGCAGCUGCUGAUAAGGGAGUCAAUUGCCAACUACAGCACUAUGCAAAAUCUAAUUUGCAAUAGUAUCAGCACCUUUGCUAGCUAAUCCUUUAAUCGAAUUUCUAGCAAAGUACAAGCAAUAUUCAUGAAAUUACUAGAAACCACAUAUUAAACAUUAUCAUUCAAAAUUAUACAUGGUAUAAGAGUAUAGGAGAACUUACAGCGCGAAAAGGGAAGUCAUCUG